AGUGAACGCUGGCGGCAGGCCUAACACAUGCAAGUCGAACGGCAGCACAGCAGUAGCAAUACUGUGGGUGGCGAGUGGCGGACGGGUGAGGAAUACAUGGGAAUCUACCCUGUCGUGGGGGAUAACGUAGGGAAACUUACGCUAAUACCGCAUACGACCGAGAGGUGAAAGCGGCGGACCGCAAGGCGUCGCGCGACUGGAUGAGCCCAUGUCGGAUUAGCUAGUGGCGGGGUAAAGGCCCACCAAGGCGACGAUCCGUAGCUGGUCUGAGAGGAUGAUCAGCCACACUGGAACUGAGACACGGUCCAGACUCCUACGGGAGGCAGCAGUGGGGAAUAUUGGACAAUGGGCGCAAGCCUGAUCCAGCCAUGCCGCGUGUGUGAAG
This 385-nucleotide ribosomal RNA is filed under the name uncultured bacterium. Its description in RNAcentral is "bacterial SSU rRNA". It matches the Rfam family "Bacterial small subunit ribosomal RNA", at positions 30 to 410 of the family's 1533-position model. The record is from RNAcentral.